Molecule: transfer RNA, 67 nt
Filed under: uncultured Agrococcus sp.
Lineage: Bacteria; Bacillati; Actinomycetota; Actinomycetes; Micrococcales; Microbacteriaceae
Rfam family: tRNA
About the family: Transfer RNA (tRNA) molecules are approximately 80 nucleotides in length. Their secondary structure includes four short double-helical elements and three loops (D, anti-codon, and T loops).
Source: RNAcentral
CGGGUGUAGCUCAAUGGUAGAGCUCCUGCCUUCCAAGCAGGCGGUGCGAGUUCGAUUCUCGUCACCC